This is a long non-coding RNA of Carassius carassius (crucian carp), 604 nucleotides long. RefSeq lists it as uncharacterized. The record is from RefSeq and is a predicted model, not a curated record. The transcript has 4 exons. NCBI's taxonomy places the organism in Eukaryota, Metazoa, Chordata, Actinopteri, Cypriniformes, Cyprinidae.
UUUUUUAGUUUGAACAAGCCAGAUAAAUCUGCUUUACCAGGAUUAAAUUAUGUCCCUUUGGGGAAUGAGCCGAUACCUCCUCAGUUAACAUUGAGGGAGAGAAAUGCUCAACACAGGUUGAUUAAUCGUGAGGACUCUGACUUCUCUCUGCCCAGUGGUUUGUCAGUGAAAAGUGAGCACUCAAUGGAUUGUCCUAUCAACAUCAGUGGAGGACCAGUCACUACAGAACUGAACUUGAACAGGCCAAAUAAACCUUCUUCACCAGGACCAAGUCAUGUGUCUUUGGGGAAUAUGUCUAUAACCUCACCAUUAUCCUUUAUGCCUGAACACAAGUUGGUUGAGCGGGAGCAGUCAAUGGAUUAUCCUCAUAAAUUCAGCAGAGAAUCUGUCCUUAUAGAACUGAAGUAUGUUAGCCAUGUGUUAAACAAUUAUAAACAAUAUACAUCAAUGUUUGUUACCAUGAGAUACAUACAAAUGCUUUUAAUGUAUUCACGUAUUUAAAUAUGCCUUCAGAAAGGUGUGUCUGUCUCGUUCAAAAAAUUUUCAGAAGGCAAAAACAUCCAUAUUUGAAAAUCUGAAAAAUCUAAUAUACAGGUUUCUUUCU